Molecule: ribosomal RNA, 253 nt
Filed under: uncultured bacterium
Lineage: Bacteria
Description: partial 16S ribosomal RNA
Rfam family: Bacterial small subunit ribosomal RNA
Source: RNAcentral
UACGUAGGGGGCAAGCGUUGUCCGGAAUUAUUGGGCGUAAGGAGCGUGUAGGCGGUCCGGUAAGUCAGCUGUGAAAGUCAAGGGCUCAACCCUUGAAAGCCGGUUGAUACUGUCGGGCUAGAGUCCGGAAGAGGCGAGUGGAAUUCCCGGUGUAGCGGUGAAAUGCGCAGAUAUCGGGAGGAACACCAAUGGCGAAGGCAGCUCGCUGGGACGGUACUGACGCUGAGACGCGAAAGCGUGGGGAGCAAACAGG